Molecule: ribosomal RNA, 497 nt
Filed under: uncultured bacterium
Lineage: Bacteria
Description: partial 16S ribosomal RNA
Rfam family: Bacterial small subunit ribosomal RNA
Source: RNAcentral
GAUGAACGCUGGCGGCGUGCCUAAUACAUGCAAGUCGAGCGAACAGACGAGGAGCUUGCUCCUCUGACGUUAGCGGCGGACGGGUGAGUAACACGUGGAUAACCUACCUAUAAGACUGGGAUAACUUCGGGAAACCGGAGCUAAUACCGGAUAAUAUAUUGAACCGCAUGGUUCAAUAGUGAAAGACGGUUUUGCUGUCACUUAUAGAUGGAUCCGCGCCGCAUUAGCUAGUUGGUAAGGUAACGGCUUACCAAGGCAACGAUGCGUAGCCGACCUGAGAGGGUGAUCGGCCACACUGGAACUGAGACACGGUCCAGACUCCGACGGGAGGCAGCAGUAGGGAAUCUUCCGCAAUGGGCGAAAGCUUGACGGAGCAACGCCGCGUGAGUGAUGAAAGUCUUCGGAUCGUAAAACUCUGUUAUUAGGGAAGAACAAAUGUGUAAGUAACUAUGCACGUCUUGACGGUACCUAAUCAGAAAGCCACGGCUAACUACGUG